MicroRNA precursor from Theobroma cacao (cacao), 102 nucleotides. NCBI's taxonomy places the organism in Eukaryota, Viridiplantae, Streptophyta, Magnoliopsida, Malvales, Malvaceae. The record is from Rfam.
GAGAAAACGGGGAUGUUGGAAUGGCUCAAUCAAAUCAAAUCUCCCAAGCUUUUUAUGGGUGUUUUAAUUUGAUUGAGCCGUGCCAAUAUCACGUUAAUUACU